This 6968-nucleotide long non-coding RNA is filed under the name Citrus maxima (pomelo). RNAcentral's name for it is "long non-coding RNA (CMAX_LNC000819)". Lineage: Eukaryota; Viridiplantae; Streptophyta; Magnoliopsida; Sapindales; Rutaceae. The record is from RNAcentral.
CUGCAUGAUCAUCACUAGCGGUGAUGGAAACUUCAGUCUUUAGAUGCCAUCACUGCUUACGACAUACAUUCGUUUUGGGAAGCAAAAGAAAUGAGAAAGAACGAAUCAUUUUCCGAGACAUUGCUUUUGGCUGUCAAGAGAAUAGUGUCAUAUCAUACCACUUCAAAAAAAAUUAUUGGAAUCCGAUAAGAGGGUGAUGUGGCUCAAGAGAAAUACGACUAGCUACGUAAUUUUGGAUAUUUAAGUCGGAAAUCAAAUUCCAUAAUACGUAUGAAAAAUCAGUUAAAGAGAUGCUCGCCCCUCGACUAAAUUAAUGGCUGAAUGAUCAUUUUAUUUCAAUGAUUUCAUUGUUGGGCCCAAAAAUGGCCCAGUACCUGGCCUUGGAUGGAGUUGAAGCAGUAUUAAAGCCUGGGAAUGGAACUCCAAUUAAAGCCUGAAAUAUGAUGAUUUUGCAGCCCAUUAAAAGUUUUAAACAGCCAAAGUUUCAACCUAAUACUACUUGUUCACCAAGAUAAAAUAAUUGUGAGUGCAACCGGCCAGGAUUUCAAAAGAAGAAAAUCCACAACACCGCUUAAUAGACGUUAUAAGACAUCAGCCCUUGAGGCGAAUUUAGAUUUUGACCACCCCUUUCCUUUUAAAAUCUGAAACAAAAAAUAAAUACAUAUAUUGAGUCAUUGUUUGGUUGCUUCUGAAAUUCAUGCAUAAAAUUUAUUAUGUACAUAUCAAAAGAAUGUUAUUUAUAUUAUGAAUUGGUAUUAGAGAGCGACUCCUGACUUGAUAUGUGGAUGGAUAUUUGAAGCAUUUCAAUAGACAAAGAACACCCUUUACAAUCUAAAUCUCGUUCAUUCAGCCGCAUUAGUUCACCCUUUACAAUGAAGUAGUUCUACUGAAACCAUUUUUUUUUUUCCAAAGCGAAAUAAAGCUAUGAACAAGAAAACAUCAAGAAUCAAUUCAGUUUUAGUUCUAAGUUUACAGGAUUGCACUAACCUGAUCUGAAUUUGUGUACCAGUCCCAGGAUCUAUAAAAUCCUUAAUUCUUGAAGCCCGGCAGUUUGCUUCAGCAACUAUUUCUUGGCAAUGAGACAAAUCUCGACAGACCAGCCAGGAACUGAACCAAACCCUAGUAGUACCUCUGUAACAUGUGCAACUACUAGUGCAGAAUUUGAUGCAGUUCAUGUAUGUAUACUCCAAAGACAUCAAUAAGAGCUUGUGAACAACUGGUACAGCAAAAGAUUACCAUGAAAUAGCCAUCAGGGAUUUUUCUAAGAAAGAAAUGGAAAAUUGAUAUGGAUCAUUCAUCAAAUGAACAAAAUUGAUAUGGAGCCAAAUCCACAUCAACCCUUGAAACAAAUACAAAAUCCAUAACAAAGUCAAUAGUAAAGUGCAUCUGAAGAAAAGUAAGAUACGGAAUAGGUACGUAACAAGUUAUUAUGCCAUUAAAGAGAGGACAUAACUGAAACGAGGAUAUUGAGAUCAACGUGUUGGAGUACAAGAGACAAUAAAGCAUGAAAUCUGUAGAUUUAUGAACAAUUUGAUGCAUUGCAGCACCAUAAAAAAUUAACUGCAAAACAAGAGAUUUGGCAUAGCACAGGAGGAACUGAGGAUCCAUUCCUCAAAAGCAGCAAAAAUGUAGUUUAUAUUAAGCAUGAGAAAAAAUCUAAUUUUCAACUCAACAGCAAUAUCAGUUUCAAAUGAAGUUACUAAUCACCAGUUUAAUUAAUUCCAUCACAAAAGGUGAAAUAUUCUUUUUUUUUCCAACCCUUGAGUUCCCAUCUAAUGAACUACUAGAAUACUUCAAUUCAUUUUUAUGAAAUAUUUAGAAACAAUAGCUAAAUGAUUGAAAGAAGAAGAAAAUGAGGCCAAAAAAUAGUUAUUUGCCAAAGUUCCAUACUACUGUUUUUGCUGAAGGCAAAUACAUGAUGCAUUAACUGUAUACCAUGAAGCAAGUAGGCGAGUGCAGGACAUUGGACUUAAUGAGCUGUCCAAAUUUGUUUUAAAUGUCCAUUUGUAGACAGUUUGGAAAAGCUGAAUUCUUUUUCCUUAAAUACAUAUGGGAUGCAUGUUUAAGUUUUUCCUUUUAUAGGUCUACCAUUGUGAUAAUAUUUGGUAAUCAUUAUAUGAUUACACAUCUCAAUAUCAAGGCGACACUAUUAUUAAAACUAAGCUGAAAUGAAAAUAUUCAGACAAAUGAGGCAAGAGCAAGAAACCAUCCUUCACAAACACACUCUCGCCGAAUGUACCUCUAGUGCUUCUAGAAUUGUUCAAGCAUAUCCAUAUGUACCUUAUGUAAUAGUCAUUUCAUGCUUUUAUAACUUUUGUAACUUAAGGAGGUGAUUUCAGAAGUAUUCGCCAUCCUUAGUUAUUAAUCAAUAACUUAUCAUAAAGUUUCCAACAAUACGACAAAAUUGAAAUUAAAUACAUUUAAAGUAGCACAAAUUCACCAUCUAAUUAAAGUGAAAAACGUGUACAACAGUUGGAGAAGAAUCUAACUGCAUUAGUACUUAUGUACUAUUAUCUGCAAUUUUGUAAUUAUAUACCAUUUGUAUAAAUAACACAGCAUGCAAAAGAAUCAAACCACUCAUCUGUUCAUCUCUACUGUUUCAAUUAUCAAAAUUUUCCUCUACCUGGAUCAAAAAUCUCCAAUUGACAAGCCAUAUCCCUCAGAAACAUCUUGCUCGUUUGGUCAUUUGAUUGUGCAGAAGCAGAGGUAUGGAAGCUUUACAAGAUUUUAUUUAAUGCUUUUGUCUAUUUACUCCUAAAUUAUUGUCUCUCUCAUUCGUUGCUAAGGGCAUCUCCUAUUGAUUACGAACCAUGCAAUUUAAAGUACUCUAGAAUUUUCAUGAAAAUUUGAUGGAAGGAGAUUAAUUUGGUGGGUAGGUGUUUUUAAUAUUAAAAUAAUUUUUGGGGAAGAAAAAAUUGCUUUAUAUCCUCUAAAAACUCAGAUAAAGACUGUGGGAGUGUUUGGCUUUAACUUCACGAAUAUUUACGUCUACGGCUGCAAUGUAGUUUAAAAUUAAAGUAAACAUUCUUUAUUGUUUUGGCUCUUUGAAUUUUUCUUUAUGGUUAUAUUUUCGUAACGUAUAUGGGUGUGGGUGUUUAUGUUUAUGUCUGUAUCUAGGUUCAGACUAUUGUAACAUAAAUUUUUACUUAAAAUGGAUUCCCAAAUGACCAUAUAUCUUAAUCAGCAACUCAGAUGAUUGAGUUAAUUGAAGUUAAAAUGUAGCAAUUAUUGUUAUCAAUGCAGCAGCUGCCAAACCGUUGGAUAAUUAUACAUGGAUGGUUCAAGAUUUUCUCUUUUUCAGGGUGGGGGUGGACAAACCCUGAACAGAUUUUUUAUCCCCUACCUCUCCCAGGAUUCAAACUGGGGAAGUUAGCCAAAGAAAGCUGCUCGAAAACCACUCAGUCAAGCCCCUAGGGAAAGAGGGAUUAUAGAUUUCAUCUUAAGUUAAAAAAUUUUAGUCACAGCCCCCUAACCAGUGUGUGCGCACGCGCGCGAGCAUGUAUAGAUCAGCGAAGAAAAAUUGCAAAAACAAAAAAAAUAAAUAAAUAAAUCACCCACACAAUUUAACUGCAAUUCAAAUGGAUAUACCUAUAAGAUUAAGAUGUGUAUGCAUGAUAGUCAUCUAGUUGUUUCAACAUAAUGUACAUCUUGGGUAUUAUCAUUCAGUUUUUACUAAAUUAAAGCACCAAUUCUUUGUUGGACUGUUUAUAGUUGAAGCCGCUAUGAUUUUUUGUCUCUAGACAACAUUGAAAAUUAAUAAUCUUGGAACUCUGCUUUUACUGCUUUUACUAAUAAAGCAUCCUGCUGUAGAAAGCACUGGUUUCACUGAAGAGCUAAUAAAGUUUCAAUCUAUUGACUCGUAUAAUUGCACCUUUACUCACUAUUUGAAGUCUGAUUACUCAAUGGUGAUCAUCCUUGAGUUUUACAAAAUAAACUAAUAACAGUUAAUCAACCCAUGCAUUAUUUAGCUAAAUUCCCCCAUUUUGGCGUAGAGGACCUGCAAGUUUAAGAUAGCUAUGGUGAUAGUAAAUUUAAUAGUGAGUUCAACAAAGUAGGGUACAGUUGUGAUAAGGCACUAUGACUGAGUAAGAUCCAAAUGAUAGCCUAGUUUAAAUUAGAAACAACCCGAGAUGGUCGAUUUAUAUCAAAUUAUACUUGAUUACUCAUCCACUAAUUAAAGAUUAGUUUGGUUAGCUAACUGAUGAUUAAAUAGCUUGCAGAGUACAUCAGCUGUGAACUAUUUCUCUACCCAUCAGAUAUUCCAAAUAUUAACAUUUUCCAUUUUGCAGCUUUAAUCUGAGAAGAUUAAUCCUCAAAGAUCAAACAGAAUGGAAAGCGGUGGCAGUGGCGGCAGCAGCAGCAAAAAGAGCAAAAAAGUAGAGCAGCAAAGUAAGAAACGGCAGAAAACUAAUACCAUUGAUUACAUGAAUUACAUACCUGAAGCAAUAGUAUUCCAUAUACUCUCACUAUUGCCGCUGGGAGAGUUGAUUAUAAUGAGUCUUGUAUCACAACGAUGGAAAGACACAGUAGUGAGAUACCUGAAGAUUGUUCCAUCAAGUCUAAAUCUUGACGAAUGUGAGAUGCCAGGAACUAUCCUUAAAAGAGAUGGGCAGUGUUUGCUACGUAGCAAUUCUGCCCAUUCCGGUUACUCUUUACAACAGCGACACUGCUUGAUACGUGCAGCAAGAAAAAGUUUCAUAGAAUUUGUGGACCGAUGCCUCCAGCUCCAUUCCGAUUGCAUGAUCAAUAAUUUGCGGUUGACAUUUCUUCAUGAAGCUGGUGGCGAUUAUGGAUACACUAGGAAGAUUGAUAUGUGGGUUCACUUCGCCUUUACAAAUGACAUCAAAGAGCUUUCGUUGGACUUCUCUAACCUAACACUUUCAAAACCCUUGGCUCAACCAUUUGAACUGCCUCAUGGCUACUUUGCACCCAAGAUAACGAAAACUUUCAGCCUAAAGUUUUGCAAGUUUAGACUAUCUACCUUUCAGGUUUUUGGAUCCCUUAAGGGGAUAUCUUUAGUACAGGUAGAAAUCCUUGGUGGCUCGUUAGCUGAGCUAGCAUCCAAAUGUCCUGUUCUGAAGGAUGUGAACCUGGUAAACUGUGUUUUUCCUGAUCAAUUUAUGAUGAGUGAAGAAGACAUAAUAGUUGAGAAACUAUCAGUGAUUGACUGUAAAACAGAGGAGUGGGAGGCGUGCAAUAUCAAUCUAUCAACUCCAUGCCUACUGAAGCUCCAUAUAGUUGGAAACAUUCUCAUGACAUCCCACAUUCGGAACGCAACAAAACUCCUAGAUGUAACUUUUUGCAUGGAGGAGAUAAAUGAAAACUAUUUACAGGGAGAUGCAUUGGGUUCAUUUUUUAUUGAGUUAGGCCACAGUCGAUCUCUAACAGUAAACAAUUGUUGCAUCCAGGUAUCAAGGUCUUCAUUUAAUUGAUUAUAGCUUAAUUUUAAGUUAAUUUGUGCCCUUAACUUGUGAAGUUUUCUUUUGUGUUCAAGGUUCUACCUGCAGGGAAUGAUUUGCUACAAGGAUUGCCAACUUACCUCAACAAUCUUAACCAUUUAUGUUUGUUAGUGGGCCUAGAAAAACAAGAAAUGCCUGGGAUAUCUUGCCUGUUAAGGAGUUCCCCAAAUUUAGAGAAUCUAACCCUACUAUUGCUGGGAACUGGAUGGGUGGGCAUUACUAAAUUCUGAAAUUGCUUUCAUAGUUUGACAUUGUAGAUGAUACUAAACCAUUUAGCUUCUAUAUAUUGUAACUUUAUUUUACAGGAAAAUUUCCAAAAUGAUGCCCCACCAUUCUUUGACUUAGAAGAACGGAUUUACUGGGAUGAACGGAAUUCAACUUUCAGUUGUGUACAAAAUUCUCUUAAAAAGGUCACAAUGGACGGGUUUUCCGGAAGAAACAAUGAGAUGAAAUUGAUUCAGUUCCUGCUGAAAAAAGCGAGAGUUCUCCGGAAGAUGGAAAUCAUCUUUAUUUCAACAGCUGAAGUCAUGGAAAAAAUCCAAUAUCUGUCGGAGACGUUGUCUUACUUCCCAAGGGCAUCUCCUCUGGCCAGCAUAGAAUUUUGUUGAAGCCCUUCAACAGUUGAACAUGUAAUGUUCUAUAAAAAUUUCCUUUGUCUCGUUAAGACUUUUCCUUCGACUAGGUAAAAUAAGUAUAUGGGUGCCCUCUUGUGGAGAUUUGGAAAUCUUCACAGAUAGCAUCCAUCCAACAUUAUAUUUCAGAUAUUAUUAUGUCAGUAUCAACCAUCAACUUUCCUUCAUUGCAUAAAAAGGAACUUUGUUUCACCUUGCUAUUGUCUAUGACGCCUAUUCUAGUUUAAAUUUGGCAGAGGAUUGCAUGCAGGAAUUCAGAAUUGAAGCUUGAGAUGUGAUAAACUUGCUCAUUGAGAAACAAAGUCAUCAAUCAAGAUCUUCAAUCCUCUUAUAGCUAGUUAACAUGAUUUUUCAUAUGAUUCUCUAAAUAUAAUGCUUUGAAAAAUCCAUAAAAUUAAAAAAUAAGAAACAAGCAAAUACUCCCAGCAUAUCGCACAAAAAAAUCAAAUGAUAUCAUACCUAGUUCAAAUUAAACCACCGUAGAUGCCAUAAUGCCAAAAAAAUUGCGCAAAAACACAGAGACGCAAAGAAAUAGUAGAUAAAAUUAAUUUAGAAUUAAAAAAAAGGUGACAGCAAGAUAUAAUAAAUGUGUGAAAUUGAAUGAAAUUUCUUUUACCUGAGUCUGUGAAGCCAUGAGCUAUUCUCUGAAUGCAUAGAGUAGACGAAAACUCUAACAGAGCGCAAAUUAUGAAAUUUUUUGGCUGAAUAAUAAUUGAAAUAAAAAUUGAUUUGGUGAUAAAAAUAAAAAGCGACCCAAUUUACUAUUAACGAGGCUCAUUUAACACAAGCCCAAUUGCUCAAAAAAAUCAAAUUCCGAAUAGCCCCUUAACAUUCAGCCCAAAUCAAAGAAAUAAAAGGGGACUAAAAUGGCCUCUUU